RNAcentral lists this ribosomal RNA (542 nucleotides) under uncultured archaeon. Its description in RNAcentral is "bacterial SSU rRNA". It matches the Rfam family "Bacterial small subunit ribosomal RNA", at positions 509 to 1050 of the family's 1533-position model. The record is from RNAcentral.
CAGCCGCCGCGGUAAUACGUAGGGUGCAAGCGUUGUCCGGAAUUAUUGGGCGUAAAGAGCUCGUAGGCGGUGUGUCGCGUCUGCCGUGAAAACCUGCGGCUUAACCGUGGGCGUGCGGUGGAUACGGGCACACUUGAGUUCGGUAGGGGAGACUGGAAUUCCUGGUGUAGCGGUGGAAUGCGCAGAUAUCAGGAGGAACACCAGUGGCGAAGGCGGGUCUCUGGGCCGAAACUGACGCUGAGGAGCGAAAGCGUGGGGAGCGAACAGGAUUAGAUACCCUGGUAGUCCACGCCGUAAACGGUGGGCGCUAGGUGUGGGAUGCUGUUCACGUGUCCCGUGCCGUAGCUAACGCAUUAAGCGCCCCGCCUGGGGAGUACGGCCGCAAGGCUAAAACUCAAAGGAAUUGACGGGGGCCCGCACAAGCGGCGGAGCAUGUGGAUUAAUUCGAUGCAACGCGAAGAACCUUACCUGGGUUUGACAUGCACUGGACCGGCGUAGAGAUACGCCUUCCCUUGUGGCUGGUGCACAGGAGGUGCAUGGCC